UACGUAGGGGGCAAGCGUUGUCCGGAAUCAUUGGGCGUAAAGCGCACGUAGGCGGCCCGAUAAGUCCGCUGUAAAAGUCAAAGGCUCAACCUUUGAAAGCCGGUGGAAACUGUCGGGCUAGAGUCCGGAAGAGGCGAGUGGAAUUCCUGGUGUAGCGGUGGAAUGCGCAGAUAUCAGGAGGAACACCGAUAGCGAAGGCAGCUCGCUGGGACGGUACUGACGCUGAGGUGCGAAAGCGUGGGGAGCGAACAGG
Molecule: ribosomal RNA, 253 nt
Filed under: uncultured bacterium
Lineage: Bacteria
Description: partial 16S ribosomal RNA
Rfam family: Bacterial small subunit ribosomal RNA
Source: RNAcentral